RNAcentral lists this ribosomal RNA (475 nucleotides) under uncultured bacterium. RNAcentral's name for it is "bacterial SSU rRNA". It matches the Rfam family "Bacterial small subunit ribosomal RNA", at positions 1 to 524 of the family's 1533-position model. The record is from RNAcentral.
UGGGCAGUUUGAUCAUGGCUCAGAACGAACGCUGGCGGCAGGCCUCAAACAUGCAAGUCUAGGGGGCGUACCAAUACGUCACCGGCGGACGGGUGCGUAACACGUGGGAAUGUACUUAUUGGUUCGGAACAACUCAGGGAAACUUGAGCUAAUACCGAAUGUGCCCGAAAGGGGAAAGAUUUAUCGCCAAUAAAUCAGCCCGCGUCCGAUUAGCUAGUUGGUGGGGUAAAGGCCCACCAAGGCGACGAUCGGUAGCUGUUCUGAGAGGAAGAUCAGCCACACUGGGACUGAGACACGGCCCAGACUCCUACGGGAGGCAGCAGUUGGGAAUCUUGGACAAUGGGGGAAACCCUGAUCCAGCCAUGCCGCGUGAGUGAUGAAGGCCUUCGGGUUGUAAAACUCUUUCGACGGGGACGAUAAUGACGGUACCCGUAGAAGAAGCUCCGGCUAACUUCGUGCCAGCAGCCGCGGUAAA